RNAcentral lists this long non-coding RNA (4831 nucleotides) under Mytilus galloprovincialis (Mediterranean mussel). Lineage: Eukaryota; Metazoa; Mollusca; Bivalvia; Mytilida; Mytilidae. The record is from RNAcentral.
UGUCAAUGGCGUCACAGUGUUGUAUAAAAGCUGCAACACAACAGCGAUUUAUUUAUCAAACUUUCAUACGAGAACUAUUGCAUUUGCCUAUGUAAGUACAUUUUCAGUUAUAUACAAUUAAGUAUUAAAUGUAAAUUUUAUAUAUAAAGAAUAAAAAUCAAUAAUUCAUUUUUUAAACAAACAGAAGAUUUUACGAUUAAAGCAAAUUCUGCAACGCAACAACAUUUCUUUUAUAUUUGCAUGAAGAUAACUUCAAGUAAUAUGUGAAACACAGUUUUACACAUGUGAUGAUGUCAGCAUUAGUUUCAAAAUCGUUAGCAUUUUAUGUUUAAGUAAAAGUUUAUUUCAAAUCCGUGACACGUUUCAUUGAUAGUAAUAAAAGCCCAUAUGUCAUUAUGCUGCUGCUGUAAACAAUUCGUAUUCAGGUUAAUUGAUCUCGCGGCAACUUAUACAUGUUAUAUUGGUUAAAGACUACAAUACAUCUGUCUUAUGUUAACAUAAACUUAAAUGCAAUCGACUUUUAAAUCCGCUUGCAUUCGUUUUAUUCUGAUAAAGAUCGUGUGGUAGAUAUAUUUAUGUGAGAGUUUCAUUCAAUCUGAUGACAGUACGAACUCUCUUGAACCAAAUAUUUUCCAUUUGACAAAACAAAUUAAAUCGAAGUUUUAUCGCAAUUAGACAAACAUAAUUUUAGGAAACAUUGAAAUUAAUUAUUCACCAUGUCGUUACAAAAGUUGCACUGUAGAACACAAAGCCCAAUAUGUCAAAACAUUUAUCAGAAUUCAUGCCUAGUUUUUACUUUUAUAAGUAACAGUUGUUAUAAGACCAUUGCUUUAUGCUUAUGUAAUAUUAUUAUAAAAAAAUACUUAGAUAUAUUUGUAUAUGAUGUAUAUGUAUUGUAGUGUCUAGCAGAAUAAUAAUUCAGAAGAAUGAAGGUUUUUGUUUGUUUUGUCGCCUGUAUGCUAAUAAUGUCUGUUGGAGGUAAGAAAACAUAAGACUUGCUUUUAACCUGAACGUUAAAUUAAUAUUUUUAACCAAUAGUUUUUUCGACGUAUCAAGACCCACAGAAACAAAAUAUUUUAACAAAAAGUAAGAGGGGGGGCAAGGGGUUUAACUGCUAUGCUGUUAUGGGGUAAUUCAAUUCUUUGUUAUCUGUUAUUCUGAAAAUAUAUUUGAUGUUAGCUGUUAUUGUCUUAUUCCUUGUUAGCUGUUAUAGGACUAUUAUUUUUAUUGUUAUCUGUUAUUGUGAGAUUGUAUUAGCUGUUAACUGUUAUUGAAAAUUGGAAUGUUAGCAUUUUGACAGCCAAUCGUAAGUAGAAAUUGAAGAAAAUUGAACAUUGUGACUUGGAUGAAGAGUUGUCUCUUUGGCUCCCAUAUCACAUCUUUUAUCUAUUGGGGGUCUUUCCACAGGUGAUAUGGAGGUCAUGUAUUUGCAGAAGGAUUCCAGUAACAUACAUCACAUGAACAUAUUAAAAACAGUCGGGUCUAGGACCAUUUCAGUCUACAUUAUUAUUAUUCUUGUAAUGAAUUCCAUUGUCUGUGAACAUGUUUCAGUUAUAUGUAUAAUUUUGUACAAAUUAUAGUUUGUAUUUUGACUUUGUACACAUUUUUCUUACAAACCAUAUAUUGUAUUUUGACUUUUACACAUUUUUUGUACAAAUUAUAAUUUGUAAAAAUAACAAUUUGUACAAAAUUUGACUAAAAUUCACUUAUAACUUUUACAAUAACUUAUCGUAUGGAUUUUGUUAUAACAAAGCAUUGGUACACCGUAUUAAAUUGUAAUUCAAUGAGCACAUUAUAAACAUUAUGUUGUACUGUUACACCACUGUCCAAGGUUAGAAGAGGGUCGGGCGCCAACUAACAUGUUUAGCCCCGCCAUACUCUGUAUAUUCCUGUCCCAUGUCAGGAGUCUGUACUUCAGUGGUUGUUAUUUGUUGCUAAGUUUUUCGUUCAGUAUUUUGUAGAUAAACUAGGCCGUCAGUUUCUCGUUUGAAUUGUUUUUCGUUGUCAUUUCAAAGCCUUUUAUAUCUGACUAUGCUGUAUGGGUUUGCUCAUAGUUGAAGGCAGUAUGAUGAGCUAUAGUUGCUAAUUUCUGUGUCUUUUUGUCUCUUUUGGAGAGUUGUCUGAUUGGCAAUCAUACCACAUCUCCUUUUAUACUUAUUUACAAAAUACAAAAAUAGUUAUUUAUCAUUUGUUUGAGUAUGUGAGUGAAAUAUUGCCUUUGGUAAUUACACAACAUCUUUUUAGCAUUCACAUUUAGAAGUGCUACUACCCCUCCUUGUAUUUACAUGAAAGAGAACCCUGACUAUAAUUUUGUUAAAAGCUUCACAUAGUGAAAGUUGAAGCUCAGAAACUGCUGCUGCAAAUAAAGACGUGUCUUUAACAGUUUCAAUUUAAUUUCUCCACAAAAUAUCCAUUUAAGAAUCCAACAGCUGUUCGAAUGCGGUACCCACAUUCUCCAUAAUCAAUUAUUUCACAUAAGAUGCAUGAUUGUUGUUUCAUUUGGUAUCAUCCAAAUUAUCACUCAGGUCAAUUUCUAUUAUGCUAUCAGAAUAGUCACUUUCUAUUAUAUUAUCUAUAUUAUCAUAAUUAACUGUAUGCAUGUAUCAAUUACAUUUCUUCUGGGUAUUUUUGUUUUUUAUAACUAAGGUUUAUCAUGUGGUCAUUAAAUAAAAAUAUAUAGUGUGUAGCAAUUCUAUGACAAAAUCCAUACGAGAAAAUCGCUUUUUAGAAAAAAAAUGUUCAAAGUAAUAUUAGGUUUCAUUUUCUUGAAAAAUAAAAAAAAAAAAGAAAACCACAAAAAAUUAUCUAUCAAAUGCCCUUGAUUUUUAAAUAUUCCUUAAACAAAAACAGAAACUAGUGAUUUUGUUCAGUUUUAAGUGAAUUUAAGUAGAAAUUUGUACAAAUUGUAAUUUCGUAUAUGUUUUUUUUGUACAAAUUACAAUUUGCAUUUUUACAAAUUACAAUUAUACAAAGUGAAAAUACAAAUUAUAAUUUGUAUAUUUUUUGAGGUACAAAUCAUAAUUUGUAUAAAAUAAAAACUUGUACACAAUAUUUAUAAAAGGUGUUCCUGUUAAGGUCGUAUAUCAUGGUCGUAUGGACCUAGGCCUAUCCUCAUCCUAGUCAUAUGUUUUACUUUUUUGUGAUAUUAAGAAUUGUUCAAAUUUUAAUUUAACAUAUAAAUGGGGAUAAUGUUCCUUGUACCCCCAUGCGUACAUGUAUAUUUAAUUCAAAUCAGUUAUUAAAAUAACUAAAAGGAAAACAUAUGACCAAGGAUACCUGAUGAGGAUAAUAACUAAAAUGAAUAUAUAUAUGUCUCUGUUAAGGCCUGAAUAGGUCCAUACAACCAGUUGUAUAAUAAAAUCUACUGUAUUGGUCCUGGACCGGACUAAUUUUAAGAUUUUAUUUACUGUUAUCUGUUAUUGUCCCUUUUCAAUUUCUUGUUAUCUGUUUUAAGCUAAAUCAAUUUACUGUUUUGCUGUUAUUGGAACCCCCCUUGCUCCCCCUCAGUAAGGAAUCUUUUUCUAUAAAUCAACUGACUGAAAUAAAAUGUAUGUGUUAAAAGGCAUCUGUUUUGUUGUCACAGUUAAACUAUAUAACAAAAUAAGAUCCAGUUGUUGUUUAGACAUUUCUGACUUAAAGGAAAAUAAGUAGUUUGAUAAGAUUUGUCAAUUUGUGUAGAAUAUUUAUAGUUAACACUUUCAUGUUGACGACACUACGUUGAUUAAUAGAUGUAUAAAGUAUUCUUUUUUCAUUGUUGUCCUAUUGUCUUAUAAUCUAUAUAUACUUUAGUACAUAUUUGAAUAAUGACAUUUACAAUUCUUCUGUAUUGUGAAAUAUUUAGGAGUCGAAUAAGGAAAUGAAAUUGAAGACCUGCUAUUUAACAUCGAACCCACUUCUUCGGCCUUAUUUACUUAUCAAAUGGAAAUUAUAUUGUGGACUACGAUAGUUUGUAGCUGUUCAUUUUUUUGUUAGUUUCUUUAAAUUUGGGUCGUUUUAGAAUUAUUUUGUUCUAACAUCUUAACAAAAUAUUUGAGUAUUCUUCUAAAACGUAGUCACAUUUAUAUGUGGAAUCAAAAAAUAUGAUUUUCCCGUAAUCUGAUCAUAACAACUUUCAGACUUUUGUAUGUGCAUGAUAAAACAUGCAAACCUGGUCACGAUAUGUAAAUAUAACCAAUGUUUUAACUUGUAGUCAGCAUGGCAAAUGACGAAAUGAUGGCAGACAAUGAACUUGUUCAUGAGUAAGUUGAGUUAACCACAUGUGAAUGAAAAAAAAUAAAAUAUGUGUCAACGGUAAAGUGAGUAGGUUCAAUUUAAUAAUUUUAUUAGAAAUAAUAACAUAUCAAAAUUAAAAGCCAGUUUGACAAAUGUCUAUCAAGAGUCUGAAGUAUAAAGACCACUGACUGUAUUAUAGAUUAAAGUAUAUUUAACUGACAAUUGUUUUCACUUCAGACGUGCAGAUGAACACGCGGUAAAGUUAAACUUAUCAAGAUCUAUUGUUUACAAAUUGGGCUAUAUAAAGACUCCAUAUUAAAAUUAAGUUUUUCCAACCAAUAUACAGAUACAAAUCGAUUUAACCAAUGCAUGAAAUGUAUGAUAAUACAUGAUUGUUUCUUUUUAUAUAUAUAAAAUAUACAUUAUAAGUACUUUUUAUUUCAGUCGUGUAAAAAGAGCUCCAUGUUAUAAUAGAAGAUGCUUUACCAACUACCAGUGCUGCACUGGCUAUAGGUGCUCAUAUAGAAGAUGUGUUCGCAGGAGAGGCUAGAUAGUGGACCCGUCCAUUAUUUACAAAUCCUAGCAAUCAUUACAGAUUUGAAACAAAUUAUUGUUACUA